RNAcentral lists this long non-coding RNA (1019 nucleotides) under Scleropages formosus (Asian bonytongue). RNAcentral's name for it is "lncRNA (ENSSFOG00015031687.1)". Lineage: Eukaryota; Metazoa; Chordata; Actinopteri; Osteoglossiformes; Osteoglossidae. The record is from RNAcentral.
CAUUGUCUAUUAGUUCAGGACAGUGAAUAAAUUUAGUUUAUUCCCUUCCAUUUCUCUUGUUCUCUUUUCCAGUGGUAGAGUGCAUGGCAGCAGAAAGCAAAGUAUCAGAAUGAAACUAAAAAUAAAAUCCAAAAUAGGACAGCACUACAGGAAUGAGUGGACAGUUCCUAGAAAAAUUUGAAGGAUAGACAGUCAAUGACUUGCACAGCAGGAUGUUAACCAUUAUGUAUAUGCAAUAUACAAUCUUAAAUGCCCACCAUUCUGUGAUCCUCAACUGGCUUCUAUGGCCUUCGUUGAACUUCAGAUGUAACACUGUCAUUGGGAGUCUAAUGUGUCAGCUUUAGGAAAGGAAAAAAAAAAAAUAUCCAGCAGCACUGCAUGUUUCCAUGUGUGUUCAAGUGUCAUCCUCUGUUUUUCAACUAAGUCCCGCUCUUCUUGCUCCUCUAGGUGCAGGGCAGGAGCUGGCCCCAACAGUUCUUCAGCUGGCAGCUUUAGCUGCUAAACAGGAACAUAAAGCUUGCCAGUGAAGAACUGCUGAUAGUCAGCCAGACAUGGGCACAGAUGCUUCUUCCACUGGAGACUGCAUGUUCUGGGCACAGAUCUGGAGGAGAUGGAGAGAUCGAGUUUAGUUAAAACUGGAGUGCAGGUGGGAACAAAACCACUGUUGCCCCCACAGUCCAAACCAACAUCCUCCAACUGCGUGCGAGAAGAGUGGUAUGGAAGGAAAUUCCAGCCGGAUGAAACAAUGGAAAUGACUGCGGGGACAGGAGGAAGCACCACAGGCAUGUGAGGAAUGCCCAGAGUCUGUGACUGAUCCCUAUGCUUUCUUUCCCAUAAAUCUCUCUCAAUCAACGGUGGAGAGAGGCACAAAUGGCCAACGUGAGCUUAUUGCUUGAAGAGUGAACACACUGUUACAAACAUGCAUUAACCAAAUCACUGCAGACACUAAGAACAAUAAGCUCAGACAUCCCAGCAGAUACUGGGAUGUAGUAAAAUUUGCCUUGCUUUACAGAACCGCA